RNAcentral lists this ribosomal RNA (497 nucleotides) under uncultured bacterium. Its description in RNAcentral is "partial 16S ribosomal RNA". It matches the Rfam family "Bacterial small subunit ribosomal RNA", at positions 38 to 507 of the family's 1533-position model. The record is from RNAcentral.
GGGGGGGGGGGGGGGGGGGGGGGGGGGGGGGGGGGGGGGGGGGGGAGGGGGGGACGGGGACCGAGGGGAGGAGCGGCGAACGGGUGGGUAACGCGUGGGGAAUCUGCCUUUGAGCGGGGGACAACAUGUGGAAACGGAUGCUAAUACCGCAUAAAAACUUUAAACACGAGUUUUAAGUUUGAAAGAUGCAAUUGCAUCACUCAAAGAUGAUCCCGCGUUGUAUUAGCUAGUUGGUGAGGUAAAGGCUCACCCAGGCGAUGAUACAUAGCCGACCUGAGAGGGUGAUCGGCCACAUUGGGACUGAGACACGGCCCAAACUCCUACGGGAGGCAGCAGUAGGGAAUCUUCGGCAAUGGACGAAAGUCUGACCGAGCAACGCCGCGUGAGUGAAGAAGGUUUUCGGAUCGUAAAACUCUGUUGGUAGAGAAGAACGUUGGUGAGAGUGGAAAGCUCAUCAAGUGACGGUAACUACCCAGAAAGGGACGGCUAACUACGUG